GCUGGUGUGGCUCAACGGCAGAGCAAUUGCCGAUGUUUGUGAUGGGUUGCGGGUUCAACUCCUGUCACCAACU
RNAcentral lists this transfer RNA (73 nucleotides) under Tolypothrix bouteillei VB521301. It matches the Rfam family "tRNA". Rfam says of the family: Transfer RNA (tRNA) molecules are approximately 80 nucleotides in length. Their secondary structure includes four short double-helical elements and three loops (D, anti-codon, and T loops). Lineage: Bacteria; Bacillati; Cyanobacteriota; Cyanophyceae; Nostocales; Tolypothrichaceae. The record is from Rfam by way of RNAcentral.